This is a non-coding RNA of Clostridium beijerinckii NCIMB 8052, 174 nucleotides long. The record is from Rfam. Lineage: Bacteria; Bacillati; Bacillota; Clostridia; Eubacteriales; Clostridiaceae.
AUACACAUGUUGAAAAAGAAAAGUAAUUUAUAAGUCAGUUGAAGAGAGAUGAUGUUUGGUGGAAAUCAUUAUUGGUUAUAAAUGAAUGGAGCUUUUGAGUGUGAGGAAAUCGAUGAAGAAAGAUGGGCUUAAGCCAAGAAGGGUGGAACCGCGGAAUUAUAUUUCGUCCCUUUG